AUGCAGUCGUAACAAGGUCAUAGCGUGUUGAUUGGUGCUUGCAUCAUGAUUUACAUUUGAGUGAGUGGCGAACUGGUGAGUAACACGUGGGAAACCUGCCCAGAAGCGGGGGAUAACACCUGGAAACAGAUGCUAAUACCGCAUAACAACUUGGACCGCAUGGUCCGAGUUUGAAAGAUGGCUUCGGCUAUCACUUUUGGAUGGUCCCGCGGCGUAUUAGCUAGAUGGUGGGGUAACGGCUCACCAUGGCAAUGAUACGUAGCCGACCUGAGAGGGUAAUCGGCCACAUUGGGACUGAGACACGGCCCAAACUCCUACGGGAGGCAGCAGUAGGGAAUCUUCCACAAUGGACGAAAGUCUGAUGGAGCAACGCCGCGUGAGUGAAGAAGGGUUUCGGCUCGUAAAACUCUGUUGUUAAAGAAGAACAUAUCUGAGAGUAACUGUUCAGGUAUUGACGGUAUUUAACCAGAAAGCCACGGCUAACUACGUGCCAGCAGCCGCGGUAAUACGUAGGUGGCAAGCGUUGUCCGGAUUUAUUGGGCGUAAAGCGAGCGCAGGCGGUUUUUUAAGUCUGAUGUGAAAGCCUUCGGCUCAACCGAAGAAGUGCAUCGGAAACUGGGAAACUUGAGUGCAGAAGAGGACAGUGGAACUCCAUGUGUAGCGGUGAAAUGCGUAGAUAUAUGGAAGAACACCAGUGGCGAAGGCGGCUGUCUGGUCUGUAACUGACGCUGAGGCUCGAAAGUAUGGGUAGCAAACAGGAUUAGAUACCCUGGUAGUCCAUACCGUAACGAUGAAUGCUAAGUGUUGGAGGGUUUCCGCCCUUCAGUGCUGCAGCUAACGCAUUAAGCA
RNAcentral lists this ribosomal RNA (849 nucleotides) under Lactiplantibacillus plantarum. RNAcentral's name for it is "bacterial SSU rRNA". It matches the Rfam family "Bacterial small subunit ribosomal RNA", at positions 55 to 866 of the family's 1533-position model. The record is from RNAcentral. Lineage: Bacteria; Bacillati; Bacillota; Bacilli; Lactobacillales; Lactobacillaceae.